This is a long non-coding RNA of Lathyrus oleraceus (garden pea), 1434 nucleotides long. RefSeq lists it as uncharacterized. Lineage: Eukaryota; Viridiplantae; Streptophyta; Magnoliopsida; Fabales; Fabaceae. The record is from RefSeq and is a predicted model, not a curated record. The transcript is spliced from 4 exons.
AUGUUACCAACAACAUCUUCUCUCACAGAUAGACCAACAAUUCCCAUGAGGUUUUUUACAUACCUUCGAGCUAAAACAUCCUUGUGAGUAUACAAAACCCUGGUUACUGCUGGAGCAGGUGCGUCAAAAAAUCCUGAAAGUUGAUCAAUCUGGUUCUGCAAACCCUGAGCGUCAACAGAUAGUGAAGAGAUGGAAGUGGGUUCGUGAAUUGAGUAACCGGAAAAUUGUUCCAUGGUUGAGAUGAUUGAAGGGUCGUGUUCAUGUUGAUGGGCUGAAAUUGAGGUGCAUAAGCAGAAGAGUAGAAUGACAUAGUGAUGAACCAUUCUGAGUGUGUUGCUCAAAUUCAUCAAACACUCCCUAGUCAUCCAUAGUGCAUUUGAGAUAUAAGAUGCCUUUGCACGUGUAGUCACGAGUUUCAAUCUGGGCAACAUAAGGAUUAAAACAUAAUCCAAGAGAAAGUACAAACUCUUGUGCAAUGUCAGGCCACUUAACAUCAAGGAAACAUAACAGAAUCCAUUGCUUCUUUCAACAUCAAGGCAUGAGCAAGAUUAUUUAUAUCCUCAGACGUGCAAGCAAAGUGAAAAAAUUCAAGCACCUUAGCAAUUUCAGCAUUUGAUUGGCACUUGUGUUUCAAGAAAUACUCUACAGCUUUAACAUCGUGAUUUGUAAUCUUCUCAAAUUUGUUAUGCAAGCGGCACGUGUUAUUCAACCUUCAACGAUGCAAUUGAUUCUAUCCAGCCUUCCAUCAACAAUCUACCAAUAUUCAACAGUCGACGUCGUUUGCAGUUGGUUUCAGUCCAAGAACCGAAAAAUCAAACUUUCCAAUAUGUCAAGGAUGAGGACUCAUUGCAGACCGCUGAUCAAUGUCAUAUAGAGACAGCAGAAUUUCGGCACCAAUCAAAGUAAUAAUGAGCCACUCUAGGAAAUCCGGUUAACGAGAGUUGAUCUUGCUGUAUGUUUCAGGACGAACACCGGGUCUUUUGUCAACCAAAGAGCCAUCAACCUUUUGAGCUACUAAUUGCCAUGAAACAAUUGCACUGUAAUGUUCAACAACGUGAAGUCAUUGGAGAUUCCAAAAGCAAUUUUCGGUUUUUUUUUAUCACAACUCAGGUUUUACUCGGUUGGCAAAGAAACCUGGAGCAGAUUCAACUCCCAAUGCCUCUGCACCACUAAGCCACAUCGUCUCACUCAUAAACCACUUGCGAGAGGGUUUUUGCUUACGUUUUUUAGACAUACGGUUCUUAGUCACAUGCCAAUUCAUGUGACUGCUGUGCUCAUCUUGGGAUUUAAAACGGAGGCCACAAGUUGUGCAUUGAUGGUGGAGGGAAAAGGCUGAAGAGUUUUUUCUGUUGUGGAACUCAGAUAGACUUCUUUCAUUUGAAUUGCUCAUGAUGUAUGCCAUGAAGUUUGAUGUAUGUAGCAUAAAAUGUAUAU